RNAcentral lists this ribosomal RNA (460 nucleotides) under uncultured bacterium. RNAcentral describes it as "partial 16S ribosomal RNA". It matches the Rfam family "Bacterial small subunit ribosomal RNA", at positions 338 to 795 of the family's 1533-position model. The record is from RNAcentral.
CCUACGGGUGGCAGCAGUGAGGAAUAUUGGUCAAUGGACGAGAGUCUGAACCAGCCAAGUAGCGUGAAGGAUGACUGCCUUAUGGGUUGUAAACUUCUUUUAUAUGGGAAUAAAAUGUUCCACGUGUGGGAUUUUGUAUGUACCAUAUGAAUAAGGAUCGGCUAACUCCGUGCCAGCAGCCGCGGUAAUACGGAGGAUCCGAGCGUUAUCCGGAUUUAUUGGGUUUAAAGGGAGCGUAGGUGGAUUGUUAAGUCAGUUGUGAAAGUUUGCGGCGCAACCGUAAAAUUGCAGUUGAAACUGGCAGUCUUGAGUACAGUAGAGGUGGGCGGAAUUCGUGGUGUAGCGGUGAAAUGCUUAGAUAUCACGAAGAACUCCGAUUGCGAAGGCAGUUCACUGGACUGCAACUGACACUGAGGCUCGAAAGUGUGGGUAUCAAACAGGAUUAGAUACCCGAGUAGUC